CAUGCGGGCCGGGCCCCUCUGGCGACUGUCGAGGCAGUCGUGAUGUCGGACCGCAUCG
Sphingobium chungbukense is the source of this 58-nucleotide non-coding RNA. The record is from Rfam. NCBI's taxonomy places the organism in Bacteria, Pseudomonadati, Pseudomonadota, Alphaproteobacteria, Sphingomonadales, Sphingobiaceae.